Long non-coding RNA from Sphaerodactylus townsendi, 208 nucleotides. RefSeq lists it as uncharacterized. Lineage: Eukaryota; Metazoa; Chordata; Lepidosauria; Squamata; Sphaerodactylidae. The record is from RefSeq and is a predicted model, not a curated record. The transcript has 2 exons.
AGGAAUCACAGCUGUAGCUCAGUUAAGAAAUUCACAGCUGAUUGUAAUCAGGGACAAUCCAUAUACUUUCGCUACCUUCCUUGUUUUCUAUUACACAUAAUAGCCAUUGUUGGAGUGCACCACAGCUCUGCGGAGAGAUAAGAGAAAGGAGUAUUUUACAGCUCCACGGAGAGAUUAAAAAUCCAUAUGGCAAUUAAGAAAUACGAAA